Molecule: long non-coding RNA, 899 nt
Organism: Varanus komodoensis (Komodo dragon)
Lineage: Eukaryota; Metazoa; Chordata; Lepidosauria; Squamata; Varanidae
Exons: 4
Source: RefSeq, a predicted model, not a curated record
CCCAACCCCCAGGCUGGUGGCCCUGGCCCCUCCGUGGAAGUCUGGGCAGAGAUGCCGCCUCCAGCGGAGAGGCCCCGGGAGGCCGGGCGGGCCUUGCCGGAGAUCUCACGUGCAUGUGCAAAGCGCCUUGGCUUGUGGGCUUGCCUUGGAUUGGGGCGGGGGUCCUCCCUUCCUGACCCCCCCCCCGCCCGCACCAGGAAUCAGACGCAGGGCUCGGCUUUCAUGGGCGCAGAGUCCAUGUUGGAAAGCAUACUUAACAUGCCCUCCUUAUGGCACUUUUCACCUUCAUAUGGUCCAGAUCUUCCUUUGGCCAGCGUGCCUAAGAGACCAACGCAGUCAAAAUCAUCUGUUUGCCAUCUCAAGGACCAUCGCUGAGAGAUAAUUUCCAGUGUGAAGGUUCUGGCUAUGGAAGAGAUCGCAGGAUAGACGGUCCGCAUCAGAGGUCCCCGAGAAGAGUCUCAGACCAAGGCCACGUCUCUUGUCUGCAGCUGGGGUUGACUGCUCCAGGACCCCGAAGACAACGAACGUGCACUUGAUAUCCCCGAGCGUUCGUCAGAGAAACAACGAGCAUCAGACAGUGAUCGACGACAUGAUCUCUGCUGGAGAUGGGGAGCGGCAGACCGAUUCACGCAAAGGAGAUGCUGGCAGUCCCGUCAUUCGUGAGGCCGAUGCCGGGAAGGAGCUGCGUGGGACCGUCAGCGGGGCGCUAGCUGUGCCGAGAAGGAGAAACCCGCAGUCUAAACGGGGGUGCCUCGGGUCGCAUCGCACCUGAAUGGAGUCCGAGACAGGACCCACCGCCCUCCUGGAUGAACGUGGGGACUUCCUUUGCAGCCUGCUGAGCCACUCGUUGAAAGUGAGCAAAUGAGCGUCACGGUGUGAAGCCUGCUCUGGAGCUGAUU